Molecule: ribosomal RNA, 433 nt
Filed under: uncultured bacterium
Lineage: Bacteria
Description: partial 16S ribosomal RNA
Rfam family: Bacterial small subunit ribosomal RNA
Source: RNAcentral
AACGAACGCUGGCGGCAGGCCUAACACAUGCAAGUCGAGCGAGCAUUUCGGUGCUAGCGGCGGACGGGUGAGUAACGCGUGGGAACGUGCCCUUUUCUGCGGAAUAGUCCUGGGAAACUGGUGGUAAUACCGCAUACGCCCUUUUGGGGAAAGAUUUAUCGGAGAAGGAUCGGCCCGCGUUGGAUUAGGUAGUUGGUGGGGUAAUGGCCCACCAAGCCGACGAUCCAUAGCUGGUUUGAGAGGAUGAUCAGCCACACUGGGACUGAGACACGGCCCAGACUCCUACGGGAGGCAGCAGUGGGGAAUCUUAGACAAUGGGGGCAACCCUGAUCUAGCCAUGCCGCGUGAGUGAUGAAGGCCUUAGGGUUGUAAAGCUCUUUCAGCUGGGAAGAUAAUGACGGUACCAGCAGAAGAAGCCCCGGCUAACUCCGUG